Molecule: ribosomal RNA, 158 nt
Filed under: Cuscuta australis
Lineage: Eukaryota; Viridiplantae; Streptophyta; Magnoliopsida; Solanales; Convolvulaceae
Also listed under: 1 other name
Description: 5.8S ribosomal RNA
Rfam family: 5.8S ribosomal RNA (bases 1-116)
About the family: 5.8S ribosomal RNA (5.8S rRNA) is a component of the large subunit of the eukaryotic ribosome. It is transcribed by RNA polymerase I as part of the 45S precursor that also contains 18S and 28S rRNA.
Source: RNAcentral
GAACGUAGCGAAAUGCGAUACGUGGUGUGAAUUGCAGAAUCCCGCGAACCAUCGAAACUUUGAACGCAAGUUGCGCCUCAAGCCAUUCGGUUGAGGGCACGUAUGCUUGGGUGUCAUGCAUUAUGUCUCCCCUCUCGUGUGUGGAGUGGGAAUAGAUC